AGCGUCUGGGGACAGCGUGUUGGGCUGUGGGGAGGUUACCGAAAGGAAACGGGCCGAGUCCAGUUGUUUGAGCGGUUUUCUCCUUCCACGAGCGUGUGUGAAAAAGCGCGGAGUUCGGUGGAGGGCAGCUGCCAGGACUGCCUCCUGGACUGGGUGCGGUAAGGCCUUAGGGAUGCAUUCAGAUGUAGGGUGCCUUAUUUUGGGCCGAGAAAGCUGUCAAGUGAAAGAUCCAAGGGGAAAGGUGGGCCUGGAUUUUUUUGUUGUUGUUUGCGGUGGGUUUUUUGUUUGUUUUGAGGUCAAGUGCAGAAGCAGCGGAAGCUUCAACUGUAACCCUCCAGAAGGCAGGGAUCAUGCUGUUUCCCUCAUCCUUGUCUCUGAUCUUGGUGACACAUGUAGGUGAUUUCUGAUAGGAAUACCCAGUUCUGCAGUAAAUAGCAGACACAGCCCUUGGUCUUUUUCUAUUAAAUUCUUAGAAUAUAUUUCUGAAUUGGGAGAUUUAAAGGCUAAACAGAUUCCGACCUCCUUUUCCCCCACCUCAAAAACAGAACUUUAAAAAGGAGUGGGGGAGGUGUUUAUAAAAUCCCAGGACAAACAGUUCCAGCAGCGAACACACAUCGUCUUCAUUCUGAAAAAACCUGGUGCGGCGUGAGUUCCAAACGUAAUUGUACAUUUUUUCAUCCUACAUCUCAAGAGACCAAGGGACCUAAGUAAAUUGAUCUACUUGCCAAUGACUGUAAGAAAGACAAAGAAGUUGUAAAAACAUCCAAAUGAUGUUAAACAUAAAUUAGCUCAGAAUAGUUUGCAGAAGAUAAACUACCAGCGUCAAAGCAUGCAUUAAAAACUGGAAAGAAAUUAAAAGUGUGGUAUUGAAAGAUGUACAACUGACUUUGGAAAAAGGAUUCCUCUCUAAUUGGUGUUUGUAAGUGAUCGAAAUAAACAUUUUUAAACU
RNAcentral lists this long non-coding RNA (949 nucleotides) under Homo sapiens (human). Its description in RNAcentral is "non-protein coding lnc-FAM237B-2:10". Lineage: Eukaryota; Metazoa; Chordata; Mammalia; Primates; Hominidae. The record is from RNAcentral.